GAGAGAAAGUAUGUAGCUUAUUUGAACUGGAGAGAGAGGAAGUAGGUAGUUGAUUUGGACUGGAGAAAGAGGACGUUGUAAGUAGCUGAUUUUGACUGUGGAGAGAGGAAGUAAAUAGCUGAUUUGGACUGGAGAAAGAGGACGUUGUAAGUAGCUGAUUUUGACUGAAGUCGGUUGCUGAUUUGAACUGGAGAGAGAAGAAGUAGGUUAUUGAUUUGGACUGAAAAAAUGGGAAGUAGGUUGCUGAUUUGGACUGGAGAGAGAGGAAGUAGGUACUUUUUUUGGACUUAAGAAAGAGGAGGAUGUAGGUAGCUGAUUUUGACUUGAGAGAUAGGAAUUAGGUAGCUGAUUUGGAAUGGAGAGGGGAAGUUUUUAGCUGAUUUGGACUGGAGAAAGAGGAAGUAGGUAGCUGAUUUGGACAGUAGAGUGAGGAGGUUUUAAGUAGCUGAUUUGGGACUGGAUAGAGGGGAAGUAAGUAGUUGAUUUGGACUGGAUAUUGAGAUAGUACCUAACUAAUUUGGACUUGAGAAAGAACAGGUUGUAGGUAGCUGAUUUUGACUGUGGAGAGAGGAUGUAGGUUGCUGAUUUGAACUGGCGAGAGAGGAGGUUGUAAGUAGCUGAUUUUGACUGUGGAGAGAGGAUGUAGGUUGCUGAUUUGAACUGGCGAGAGAGGAGGUUGUAAGUAGCUGAUUCGGACCGGAGAGAGAAGAUGUAGGUAGCUGAUUUAGACUGGAGAGGGAGGAAGUAGUUAGCUGAUAUGGACUGGAGAGAAAGGAGGUUGUAUGUGCUCU
Oncorhynchus tshawytscha (Chinook salmon) is the source of this 791-nucleotide long non-coding RNA. The record is from Ensembl. Lineage: Eukaryota; Metazoa; Chordata; Actinopteri; Salmoniformes; Salmonidae.